RNAcentral lists this ribosomal RNA (227 nucleotides) under Lachancea kluyveri. Lineage: Eukaryota; Fungi; Ascomycota; Saccharomycetes; Saccharomycetales; Saccharomycetaceae. The record is from RNAcentral.
AAGAUUUUUGAUUGGAGCAGCCGGGGGAGUGCCAGCCAGCCUGCGCUUAAUUGCGCGGCCGACGGUGCUUUCUGUUAACGGUUGUCUCUUUCUACACACACACUGUGGAGUUUUUUCUACUUUGCUACUUUUUCUUUGGGCGCAAGCCCUGAGGAUACAAAACACAAACAAUUUUUCAUGUUUAUUUUAGUCAAGAAAUUUUCAUUUUAAGAAAANAAAAUAUUCAA